UACGUAGGGGGCAAGCGUUGUCCGGAAUCAUUGGGCGUAAAGAGCGCGUAGGCGGUCCGGUAAGUCCGCUCUGAAAGUCCGGGGCUCGACCCCGGGAGGCGGGCGGAUACUGUCGGGCUAGAGUCCGGAAGAGGCGAGUGGAAUUCCUGGUGUAGCGGGUGAAAUGCGCAGAUAUCAGGAGGAACACCAAUGGCGAAGGCAGCUCGCUGGGACGGUACUGACGCUGAGGCGCGAAAGCGUGGGGGAGCAAACAGG
This 255-nucleotide ribosomal RNA is filed under the name uncultured bacterium. Its description in RNAcentral is "partial 16S ribosomal RNA". It matches the Rfam family "Bacterial small subunit ribosomal RNA", at positions 524 to 776 of the family's 1533-position model. The record is from RNAcentral.